UGCUUGUAAUAUCUAACGUCAUAUACCAUUUGCCUAAGGCACGGAGUGAGAUUUAUGACUCCAGUGGAAAUAAAACUGAACAAAUAUCCAUAGUUUAUUCCUUUAUUCAGUUACAAAAGCAUGAUGACUUCUUUCCAGGACACUUUGGUUAGAAAAAAAAGAAGAUUUCUCAAAAGUCUGACUCCUAACAGUGUUCUGUAUUCUUUUAUAUUUAUUUAUUUUAAAACUUUGAACCCAUUUAUUGAACUUUGAAUUUUAAAACUCAAUUUUAACAUUUGUAGAGUUAAAAAAAAACAUGACAGUGUUUCUGGUGAUUAGAUUCCAGUAGUAAAAGUACCAUGAAAAAAAAAGAAGAAAUAUUCACAUGGUGAUAGAUUUUAAGCACUUCAAAAAAACAAACAAACAAAAAAAAAAAAAACCAACAGGAGAUUAAAUUAAAAUCAACUCUAAACUGGCUUUGAACAACAAAAAGCGUCUGCAGAUUAAUUAACAUCAGUGUGUUGUUUACUUUUUUCAUAGCCUUCAAAGUGCCACCUAAUUCUCCUUUACAAUACAAACACUGAAUGUCCCUUUUUUAAAAAAAACAAAAAAACAAAAACUUUUUCAUUUUGUUUAAUUUUUUUUUUGUUUUUUUUUACAAAUCCUGUUAUGCCAUAUAAAACAUAUUUCCCAAGAUAAAGCCUCCACAGAAGAGUGCUGUGCUGUCGUAGUAAUUAAUACAUCAUCAGAAAAAAGAAGACGCAUAUGAAGGAGGAAAGAAAAAAGUAUUCACACGGCAGGUAACUAAUUCUGGUACACUGAGGCUUGAUUUAAAGGAGAACAAACAUUUUCACUGGGGAAGAGAAAAAUCCUUUUAUAUACAUAACAAUGUGGAGAUACAUAUGAUUUUUGCUUGCCCACUUAUGGCGGAAUGGCGGAAAGAGAGGUACCACAUUAGAUUUGGUACCCUCGAAAAAGGAAAAAAAAGGAUACAAACUCAGGAAUAAAAAUAAAAGCACAUCCAUUUGUGGAAGCAGAGGAUGAGUGCUGCCUUUGUACAGGCGCUUGGCUGUAAAAUAAGAGGUCAGCUAGAUUCUGCAGUACAUAAUCCAAAGCUGACCUCUGGCAUCCAACAGCAGUGAAAAUCCCAUUUCAAGCGCUUCGACCUUCCAGUCACCUUAGACUAAACUCACCCCCUUGGACACUGUUAAAGACACGCAGAUAUCAAGCCAGUGGUGAUGGUUGAUGCAUUUUAGGACUUCUCUUUUCAAGGACUAUAAUUUUGAACCACUUUUUUAAAAAAGAACUUUAAUUUUUACUCACAUUUCCCUCAACUUGCUCCCUCUGCUUAAUCUUCGGUUUUUCCUAUAUUUACUUGAAAGCCUUUUAACGAUUUGGGUAUGUGAAAUUGCUGUACUCUGCAGUGGAAUAUUUGUGGAGGUGGACUGAGGUGGAGUGAUAGCUAUGUAAGAGGAAAAGAUGUUCAUGCUGGCUGAAGGCACAUAAUGCAUCCUUUACAUAGCUCCAGGCUCUGAUGUGUUAUGAAAAAAAAACUGUUAGUGAUUUCUCUCCUGGCACAUUUUUCAGCUGUACGACUACUCCAUUUAAACAAUCAGUUUGGCAAUAGUAUAUAUAUAUAUAUAUAUAUAUAUAUAUAUAUAUAUAUAUAUAUAUAUAUAUAUAUUAGGGGUGCAACGAUAUUCGUAUCGAUAUUGAACCGUUCGAUACAGUGCUUUCGGUUCGGUACGCAUAUGUAUCGAACAAUACAACAUUUGUAAUUUAUUUUAUCAAUUUUCCUUCUGACGAUGCUGUC
This is a long non-coding RNA of Astatotilapia calliptera (eastern happy), 1792 nucleotides long. Lineage: Eukaryota; Metazoa; Chordata; Actinopteri; Cichliformes; Cichlidae. The record is from Ensembl.